This 460-nucleotide ribosomal RNA is filed under the name uncultured bacterium. RNAcentral's name for it is "partial 16S ribosomal RNA". It matches the Rfam family "Bacterial small subunit ribosomal RNA", at positions 338 to 795 of the family's 1533-position model. The record is from RNAcentral.
CCUACGGGAGGCAGCAGUGAGGAAUAUUGGUCAAUGGGCUUACGCCUGAACCAGCCAAGUCGCGUGAGGGAAGACUGCCCUAUGGGUUGUAAACCUCUUUUGUCAGGGAGCAAUUGGCGCUACGUGUAGCGUUAUCGAGAGUACCUGAAGAAAAAGCAUCGGCUAACUCCGUGCCAGCAGCCGCGGUAAUACGGAGGAUGCGAGCGUUAGCCGGAUUGAUUGGGUUUAAAGGGUGCGUAGGCGGAAUGCCAAGUCAGCGGUAAAAUCGCGGGGCUCAACCUCGCUCCGCCGUUGAAACUGGCGUUCUUGAGUGGGCGAGAAGUAUGCGGAAUGCGUGGUGUAGCGGUGAAAUGCAUAGAUAUCACGCAGAACUCCGAUUGCGAAGGCAGCAUACCGGCGCCCAACUGACGCUGAAGCACGAAAGCGUGGGUAUCGAACAGGAUUAGAUACCCCUGUAGUC